UGAACAUGGCGAUUUGCAAUAAUUUACCCAUCAGUCUGUGUACCAGUGCGUACGAGUAACAACGACGUUCCUGCAAAGUGUGAUAAUUGACAUUUAUUGUAAAGAUACCGCAAAAAUGACAGACCGUGGGAAAGUUACGCAACCGCGUGUGAAUUAUCACUCCCUCGUUUCCUUUUUUACGCAUAAAAUAGCGCGUAGUAUAUUCGUUGUGAUAAAAAUUCUGCUCGAUUUAAAAAAAAGGAAAAGGAAAAGGAAAAAAGCAACGAGUGUUACGAAGUGAAUACGAGGUUAUACAAGUGUCUCGCGUGCAUUUCAUUGAAAAUUAAACAGUGAAAUAAAGUCGUAAUUUCUGCACUCACGUGAUCUCGUGGUUUCUGCUCUCGCCGAUUAGAUGUUCGUCGUCUGUAAACGCACACGACAAUAUAAACAGGACACAGCACACUUAAACACGCACUUGGCGCACAAAAACAAGCGGAGAUCGCGACGUAAACUAGAUUUAAAUCGCCACUGGGGAGAGAGAAAGAAGGUUAGACCGCGAAGUCGCAACACAAGCGGAGAACGACACGGUACAUACUCGCGAGUGUAUCAUAAUCGAGACAGCCAAUUCAUAUGCGAAUUGAAUUUAAUCCACUUGUUUGCAAGAAUGGAGAGAAUUACAGAGAAUAAAUUACACGAUUAUCAUCGAAAGUUAAGCCAUCGAACGCUUUACAACGAGGAACGAAUUGACGGAAUCAAAUUCUCCGAGCAAGUAAUUCGUUAACAAUGAAAACAUGAAGCUGUCAUGCAUUCAUAAAACGCACAAGACUUCGCAAUCGAAAAAGUUCAAAACAAAAAAAUUUCACGAUCCACGGGGGAGACUACACGAGCAAUGGACCAAUCUGACUGGCUUGUUCGACGUCGAAAUCGAACGAGAGAUAUCGAAAGGCAUUCUAUCGACUCGCACAUGAACUCGGACCGUCUCGAUCGUGGCUGGACGACUUCGGCACGCGCGACGAGUGAUUUUCAAAUGCAAAACGUGGCACGAGCGCAGAACACGCGCAUCAACCGGCACUGAACACGACUGGCUGACUAACUACUGACUGAGAGGCUGCCGUGCAGCGCCAACAGAGAAAGGAACAGCAAGCACGAGAAGGAGGGACAUCGCCGGGCCGAUUUUUCGUCGCUCUCCGUCGUGAGAAAGCCGCGGCGCGGCAGAUGAAUGAAAGCACAACACGUCCUCCGUGGCGCGUGCUUUUCGCGCGAAUUCGCCCACCACCGUACACGGAAACGACGAACACACGAUCCGGAACGACGAACAGCACGACGAACCAGGCACGAAAACUACCCGCGCUGCGGCGCUGCCUAGCUCGCUCGUCCCUGCCCGAACUCGGCCGACCGUGCACGAACAUGUACGAACCCGAGCGCCGCGAGUCGAACGCGUUCAAUUUAUCGGGCGCGCUUCCUCUUAACCCUUUCGACUGCUCCUCUUUCCUUCCACAGUGUUGUUUCGAAGAUUGUUUUAAACAUUAAUUGUUCGACUAAAGAAGAAUCGAAUAGAGAGAGAGAGUGACGAGGUAAGAUUAUGGAGUAAUAUGGAGUAAAUCGUAUAGACGAAUAGUUGAGCAUUUCUUUUUACUUGCAGUGUUCGUGUAGUUACUAAAUGCUAACGAAUAAAAAAUUCGAGCAGAAAGAUUGAGGUAAGAUUAAUCAUGGUUUAAUUAGAUAAAUGUAUAGUCAGAUUGUAAAAUACCUUUGUUUUCUUUUUAUAGUGUUUGAACGAUUUGGUUAAGUGUAUCUGUGUGUUGUAUGAAGUGAGCAGAUUAGAGGUUAAUUAGUAACAGAGGACCGGAUUCCUGCGAGCGAAUAUCUGGAUGAAACGUGCGCCGCACGUAGGCACGGAAAUUUAUCACAGAAGAGGCAUUAUCAUAGUGAUUAGUGGGCACGUUCAAGCACCGUGACGAUAGUUAUGAGGAACAGGAGUCACGCUGAUAAAUUCGGCGUCACGCACCAAAGAAUGUACGCAUCGCCGAUAGUUAAAUAUGAGAUACGAUACAAAUUUUUUAUGAAGCUACUGUUCGUUUGAAAAAAAAUCAAGAGACAAGAUUGGCCGAUUGACCACGCGUCAAGAAUACGUAUCAGUUUAUGCCGAACUAAACGAGAAUCUGAGAUAAGGAUAUCAAAGAUAUUUUAAGCAUCCUCUUAGCAUAAUCCUAUUUUAAGACGCGUAUUGGCCAGAGGAAUCCAAACGCAACAGUGGACACGUUGCACAAUAAUUUUAACCGAAAUUUGACACACGCGUCUAACAUGUUGAUCAAAUAACGAAGCGAAUACGAAUAUCAGAACACCAACCAUUCCUCGUUGACGAUGAAAUUUUUACGAAAGAAAUCUUACAGCCCAACUCGAUGAAAUUACGCAACCAUAAAAGAGAUCUGUCAAUUCAAAUAAAAAGUCAAAUAAAAGAUAUCGAAGCUAAUGUACAAUCCAAACACGGUUAACAGUACUCUUCGUGGAUUCUGAGAAUCCAUUCAGACGUGUGUUUUAUGUGAAAUCGAACGUCAAUCGCGAACGGUGCCUUUGGAUCCCGUCUGCACCAUCUGAAACACUCACCAUUCAUAUUAAAGAGCGCAAGUUCACUCACCUCUGCCGUUCAAGAAGUUCGUUCACUUCUAUAAACUCUCUGUAGUGGCAACUAGGGUGAAGAGACGGAGGAAUUAAAUUCGAAUACCGUUAUUGGCCCAAAAUUUCGU
Molecule: long non-coding RNA, 2726 nt
Organism: Frieseomelitta varia
Lineage: Eukaryota; Metazoa; Arthropoda; Insecta; Hymenoptera; Apidae
Exons: 5
Source: RefSeq, a predicted model, not a curated record